This 407-nucleotide long non-coding RNA is filed under the name Homo sapiens (human). RNAcentral's name for it is "HSALNT0100449". Lineage: Eukaryota; Metazoa; Chordata; Mammalia; Primates; Hominidae. The record is from RNAcentral.
AUCACCUUCUUUUUAAGAGUCAUUAAAAACAGCCCAGCUGUGCCUUGCAGUGGAAAUCACUAGCCGCUGUUGUCUUCAUGUCAGUUUGUCAUUGUUAAUAAGAUAACAUUGGUUUUAUUAUUCUUAAUCUACCAUAAAACUGUAUGUCAACUCUCCUAUCAGGAAAACCUUACCAGCAAUGGAAACAUGUUAAUAUUAAUAUAGCAUUGCCAUUUAGUAACAGAUUAUGUGGUUGACAUAAUAUGUCUGAGUUUCUUUGAGGGUGUUAUAUAUGCUCUCUUCACUCAGGGCUGUUGCCUUUCUGAAAUAUCUCGAGGUGGCGUUUUCCUCGUACUGGUGACUCCAUGGUAAUAUGGAAGUGCCUUCCCAAUAGUGAGGCUACUACAGGGAUUCCAAGGUGAUUCUUG